This 1245-nucleotide ribosomal RNA is filed under the name metagenome. RNAcentral's name for it is "bacterial LSU rRNA". It matches the Rfam family "Bacterial large subunit ribosomal RNA", at positions 1564 to 2818 of the family's 2925-position model. The record is from RNAcentral.
UGAAUACGAGAUGCUACGGCGUCGAAGCAGUGUAUGUCAGACUUCCAAGAAAAGCUCGCAAUGUCAUAAAUAAAGAGUGCCUGUACCAUAACCGACACAGGUGGGUAGGUAGAGUAUACUAAGGGGCGCGAGAUAACUCUCUCUAAGGAACUCGGCAAAAUAACUCCGUAACUUCGGGAGAAGGAGUGCCUUCUUUAAGAAGGUUGCAAUAACAAGAUCCAAGCAACUGUUUAUCAAAAACACAGGUCUCCGCUAAGUCGUAAGACGAUGUAUGGGGGCUGACGCCUGCCCAGUGCCAGAAGGUUAAAGAAGCUGGUUAGCAAUAGCGAAGCUGGUGACUGAAGCCCUGGUGAACGGCGGCCGUAACGAUAACGGUCCUAAGGUAGCGAAAUUCCUUGUCGGGUAAGUUCCGACCCGCACGAAAGGCGUAAUGAUUUGGAUACUGUCUCGGAGAGGGACUCGGUGAAAUAGACUUGUCUGUGAAGAUGCGGACUACCUGCACCAGGACAGAAAGACCCUAUGAAGCUUUACUGUAACCUGAAAUUGAAAUUGGACUUUAUUUGCUCAGUAUAGGUGGGAGGCGUUGAAAGUAAUCUUGCGGGAUUAGUGGAGCCAUCAGUGAGAUACCACUCCUAUAAUGUUAGAUUUCUAACUUUGGAUCAUGAUCUGGUCAAAGAACAGUUUCAGGCGGGCAGUUUGACUGGGGCGGUCGCCUCCCAAAUGGUAACGGAGGCGUACAAAGGUUUCCUCUGAACGGGUAGAAAUCGUAUCUAGAGUGUAAAGGCAUAAGGAAGCUUGACUGUGAGACCUACAAGUCGAGCAGGGACGAAAGUCGGUCUUAGUGAUCUGACGGUGCCGAGUGGAAAGGCCGUCACUCAACGGAUAAAAGUUACUCUAGGAUAACAGGCUGAUCUCCCCCAAGAGUUCACAUCGACGGGGAGGUUUGGCACCUCGAUGUCGGCUCAUCGCAUCCUGGGGCGGUAGUACGUCCCAAGGGUUGGGCUGUUCGCCCAUGAAAGCGGUACGCGAGCUGGGUUCAGAACGUCGUGAGACAGUUCGGUCCAUAUCCGGUGUAGGCGAUAGAAUAUUGAGAGGAGCCUUCUCUAGUACGAGAGGACCGAGAAGGACAUACCUCUGGUGUACCAGUUAUCGUGCCAACGGUAAACGCUGGGUAGCUAUGUAUGGAGAGGAUAACCGCUGAAAGCAUCUAAGUGGGAAGCCCACCUCAAGAUGAGUAUUCUCAUC